Long non-coding RNA from Neolamprologus brichardi, 422 nucleotides. RefSeq lists it as uncharacterized. NCBI's taxonomy places the organism in Eukaryota, Metazoa, Chordata, Actinopteri, Cichliformes, Cichlidae. The record is from RefSeq and is a predicted model, not a curated record.
GAACGACCAGCCGUUCAGCUGAGCCUCAAGUUUGCUGAGGGAAACUUCAGCGCCGACCACGACCUUGAACAGAUACACAUGAAAUAAACACGACAGAAGCCGGCCGGUAAACCAGCAGUAGCAUGAGAAAGCAAGUCAUUUGAUCAGGAAACAAUAAAGGAACCUUUACCCACUGCACACAAAAAAUCAAAUGCUAAGAAAACUGCUACAGCAGCACCCCGUCAUUACCUUCAGUCUCAGUCAGAGCCCAAUGCCCUGGAUGCCUGUGUUUUCCCCCUGAGCAACCGGGCGGCCUCAGUCUCCAAGUGGGACACCUGGCUCCGAGUUGACCUUCACCCUGAACCCCCCAGCCCCAGCCAAGCUGUCCCACCCUGUCUCAACCCCCCUCACUUCUUCUCCUCGUUCUUCUCUUUCUCCUCCCU